AACGCACAUUGCGCCCAUUAGUAUUCUAGUGGGCAUGCCUGUUCGAGCGUCAUUUCAACCUUUAAGCCCUGUUGCUUAGUGUUGGGAAUUUACGCCUGUAAUUCCCCAAAGUUAGUGGCGGAGUCGGGUCGCACUCUGAGCGUAGUAAUAUCUCCUCGCUUCUGUAGGUGGCCCGCCCCCAGCCGUAAAACCCCUAAUUUUUCUAUGGUUGACCUCGGAUCAGGUAGGAAUACCCGCUGAACUUAA
Molecule: unclassified non-coding RNA, 246 nt
Filed under: uncultured fungus
Lineage: Eukaryota; Fungi
Description: partial contains 5.8S ribosomal RNA, internal transcribed spacer 2, and large subunit ribosomal RNA
Source: RNAcentral